UGAACUGAGAUAUUUUUGUAAGCUAUUACAUGGCAAAAAAAGAGAAACAAAACAUAAAAUCUAGGGAAUUUCAUCUUGAAACCAAAAACUGACAGCAAUUAAAGGGGAGAUGAAGUGAAAAGGGAAUCUAACCUCAGAUGAAGUCCUGAGGGACCAAAUAUCUAAUCUUUGAAGCUGCUAAUAUGACAAGACCAACCAUGACUGGAAAAAAUCGUCGUGCUCCAAAAGAUGGGAAGGCAAUUACUAGGCUUCAACCCCGUCCCUGUCGCCCGCACGGUAUGCUAACCUUUCAUGUCCAAAUGUCAACUUUGAAUAAUCUUGACAGGAGAUCCAAACAAAACAAAACUUUUUCUCUUUCAGAUUACAUAAAAACAACCUAGGAAUUCCCAAAAGUCUGAAGAGUUCUUGAUGAAAUAAUUUAAAACGUAACAGGAAGAGUCGAUCUUUGUUUUAUGUAUUGCGUGCCUCUUCAAAACGCAGAUUGCUACUUAUGUUUACUUCAUGUCAGAAAAAUCUGCUGAAACAUGAAAUUAUUAUUUACAGUACCAUUCCUUUUUAGGGGCUGCAUGUACACCUCAGCAGGUUUCAUGGAGCCCAUUGUUGACAUUACCAACUGGGAAUAUCCCAACACACAGCUAUGUGGAGGUCAGCCCUCAGAUGGACAGAGGCGCAUGGAGGCAAAACAUCAGUGAAGCUGCCAGGAGCUUUAAAGCUUACACAUCUGGAACAAAAAUGUGACGAGGACGGAUUUGUUCUGUUUUGGGCGAUUACUGUUUUUUGUGUGACGCAUGAUUGCUCUGCAUGAACACGACUGCCAACUGAGAAAUUGGAGACAAGUUCACCAAAGUAAAAAGCAAACGACUGCUAAAAGAUAAAGCAUGACGACUGACGAAGCUUUGAAAGGACCAAGAGCUGUGGAGUUGGAGCAGAUGCUGCGGAUGUGUGUGACGGGUGACUGAGUGAAGCCUCUUUGAUAAACUGACUCAACAGAGGGUAAACACAGAUGCAAUAAUCUGGAGCGAGAGGCUGCCAAACAAUCCUGACUGCAGCCUCCUUUCUACCUCUCUCUAUUUACAUGAAUACAUUUCUGUUCUUCCCAUGCAACAAUGCCAGAAAUGUCAUUCAGUAUCUCUCUCACUGUUGCCUCUCUUGAAGGUCAUAUGUACUUCAUUGUCGUUUACAUAUCUCUGUGUAACUCAACAUGCUUGUAAAAGGGAUUUAUGGUAAGAAAAAAAGAGAGAUGCAAAGAGCGAUUUGUUGUGAUUUCUUCUAUUUGCCGUCUGCCUUUUCUUCGCAUGAACACUCUUCAGAGCACAAAUGCUUGCAAAAGUGCAAUCUAUACUUCCAUGACAACUGACAGGCACCACAUUCCUGAGGAAACAGUUUGAUUGAACCAGGAGCUCUCAAACAGCAGCUUAAUAAACAGGAGAAAGAUCCA
Long non-coding RNA from Xiphophorus hellerii (green swordtail), 1438 nucleotides. RefSeq lists it as uncharacterized. Lineage: Eukaryota; Metazoa; Chordata; Actinopteri; Cyprinodontiformes; Poeciliidae. The record is from RefSeq and is a predicted model, not a curated record. The transcript is spliced from 3 exons.